UAUCUGUUAACGCAGGCCACAAGGGAAAGCAUGUAUAUGUUGGUGUUGGUAAAGGGAAAAGUAAAUCACCCUUCGAUUACAAGUAUGCUGCUACUGAGGAUCAGCUCCAUGAUGAUCCAAAUGUAGCUCUUUUCUUCUUUGAGAAGAACAUGCAACCUGGGACAAAGAUGGAGUUGCACUUCAUUAGGGAUGCAAAUCUAGCCACCUUCUUGCCUCGUCAAGUUGCCAACUCCAUACCUUUUUCAUCCAAAAAAUUCCCAGAAAUUCUGAACGAGUUCUCGAUAAAACCAGAAUCAGAAGAAGCUGAGACAAUCAAGAACACAAUCAGAGAGUGUGAGGAGCCUGGGAUUAAAGGAGAGGAAAAGUAUUGUGCAACUUCACUAGAAUCCAUGGUUGAUUUCAGCACCUCAAAG
Molecule: long non-coding RNA, 413 nt
Filed under: Vitis vinifera (wine grape)
Lineage: Eukaryota; Viridiplantae; Streptophyta; Magnoliopsida; Vitales; Vitaceae
Description: long non-coding RNA (VVIN_LNC000935)
Source: RNAcentral